GGGGUAUGGCGGAAUUGGUAGACGCUACGGACUUAAAAUCCGUUGGCUUUAUUGACCGUGAGGGUUCAAGUCCCUCUACCCCCAAAACU
Molecule: transfer RNA, 89 nt
Filed under: Pseudoditrichum mirabile
Lineage: Eukaryota; Viridiplantae; Streptophyta; Bryopsida; Pseudoditrichales; Pseudoditrichaceae
Also listed under: 1 other name
Description: tRNA-Leu
Rfam family: tRNA
About the family: Transfer RNA (tRNA) molecules are approximately 80 nucleotides in length. Their secondary structure includes four short double-helical elements and three loops (D, anti-codon, and T loops).
Source: RNAcentral